RNAcentral lists this microRNA precursor (59 nucleotides) under Sarcophilus harrisii (Tasmanian devil). RNAcentral's name for it is "Sha-Mir-12470_pre stem-loop". Lineage: Eukaryota; Metazoa; Chordata; Mammalia; Dasyuromorphia; Dasyuridae. The record is from RNAcentral.
UGGCAGCAGGUGAUUGCUGAGGCUGAGGCUUCUUUAGGCCCCAGCUCUCACCUCCCACU